AGUCGAGCGGAACGAUACCAGCUUGCUGGUAGGCGUCGAGCGGCGGACGGGUGAGUAAUACUUAGGAAUCUACCUAGUAGUGGGGGAUAGCUCGGGGAAACUCGAAUUAAUACCGCAUACGACCUACGGGAGAAAGGGGGCAGUUUACUGCUCUCGCUAUUAGAUGAGCCUAAGUCGGAUUAGCUAGAUGGUGGGGUAAAGGCCUACCAUGGCGACGAUCUGUAGCUGGUCUGAGAGGAUGAUCAGCCACACCGGGACUGAGACACGGCCCGGACUCCUACGGGAGGCAGCAGUGGGGAAUAUUGGACAAUGGGGGAAACCCUGAUCCAGCCAUGCCGCGUGUGUGAAGAAGGCCUUUUGGUUGUAAAGCACUUUAAGCAGUGAAGAAGACUCCUCGGUUAAUACCCGUGGACGAUGACAUUAGCUGCAGAAUAAGCACCGGCUAACUCUGUGCCAGCAGCCGCGGUAAUACAGAGGGUGCAAGCGUUAAUCGGAAUUACUGGGCGUAAAGCGAGCGUAGGUGGCUUGAUAAGUCAGAUGUGAAAUCCCCGGGCUUAACCUGGGAACUGCAUCUGAAACUGUUAGGCUAGAGUAGGUGAGAGGAAGGUAGAAUUCCAGGUGUAGCGGUGAAAUGCGUAGAGAUCUGGAGGAAUACCGAUGGCGAAGGCAGCCUUCUGGCAUCAUACUGACACUGAGGCUCGAAAGCGUGGGUAGCAAACAGGAUUAGAUACCCUGGUAGUCCACGCCGUAAACGAUGUCUACUAGUCGUUGGGUCCCUUGAGGACUUAGUGACGCAGCUAACGCAAUAAGUAGACCGCCUGGGGAGUACGGCCGCAAGGUUAAAACUCAAAUGAAUUGACGGGGGCCCGCACCAGCGGUGGAGCAUGUGGUUUAAUUCGAUGCAACGCGAAGAACCUUACCUGGUUCUGACAUAUCUAGAAUCUGCAGGGAUGCGGGAGUCCYUUCGGGAAUUAGAAAACCGGUGCCUCCAGGCCGUUGUUAACUUGUGUUGUGAGAAGUUGGGUUAAAUUCCCCAACGAACGCCAACCUUGUCCUUAAUUUCCCACGGGGUUAACCGGGAAAUUUAAGGAAUCUUCCCAUGACCAAAUGGAGGAAGGGGGGGGAGGAGUCAAAUUAUCCUGGCCCUUUCGGCCCGGGGUACCCCCGUGGUUCAAAGGUAGGUACCGAGGGCAAGUACCCAAGGAAGUGAUGCGAAUUUCAAAAAACCUAUUGUAGUCCCGAAUGGAGUUUGCAACUUGGCUCCCGAAAUAAGAAUCGGUAGUAACCG
Molecule: ribosomal RNA, 1288 nt
Filed under: uncultured bacterium
Lineage: Bacteria
Description: partial 16S ribosomal RNA
Rfam family: Bacterial small subunit ribosomal RNA
Source: RNAcentral